RNAcentral lists this transfer RNA (69 nucleotides) under Ictidomys tridecemlineatus (thirteen-lined ground squirrel). RNAcentral's name for it is "Spermophilus tridecemlineatus (thirteen-lined ground squirrel) tRNA". It matches the Rfam family "tRNA". Rfam says of the family: Transfer RNA (tRNA) molecules are approximately 80 nucleotides in length. Lineage: Eukaryota; Metazoa; Chordata; Mammalia; Rodentia; Sciuridae. The record is from Rfam by way of RNAcentral.
GGGGUUGUGGCUCAGUGGUAGAGCUCUUGCCUCGCAUGCAUGUGACACUGGAAUCGAUCCUCAGCACCA